CAGUCGCCGCGUAAAACGGAGGGCGCGAGCGUUACCCGGAUUUACUGGGCGUAAAGGGCGUGUAGGCGGCCUGGGGCGUCCCAUGUGAAAGGCCACGGCUCAACCGUGGAGGAGCGUGGGAUACGCUCAGGCUAGAGGGUGGGAGAGGGUGGUGGAAUUCCCGGAGUAGCGGUGAAAUGCGCAGAUACCGGGAGGAACGCCGAUGGCGAAGGCAGCCACCUGGUCCACUUCUGACGCUGAGGCGCGAAAGCGUGGGGAGCAAACCGGAUUAGAUACCCCCGUAGUCCCUGUCUCUUAUACA
This 301-nucleotide ribosomal RNA is filed under the name uncultured bacterium. RNAcentral's name for it is "partial 16S ribosomal RNA". It matches the Rfam family "Bacterial small subunit ribosomal RNA", at positions 509 to 808 of the family's 1533-position model. The record is from RNAcentral.